GCCAGGAAAAACGAAGUGACAGAUCGAUAGUUUUGUAUCAGUCUCGAUGGAUACCCGCGCUCUUCACUUUCCUCAUUUGUUGCAAAUCCCAACACCUUCCUUGCCUGACUAUCUCGUUUCAUAGUCUAAUGUUGUGUUAUUUGAAAACCUAUGUUGCUACAUUGGCAGAGCAUAUUUAAGCCGAGUUACUUGUCUGUGGAUAGUGUUGGGGGUGAGCUCUUUUGCCCCAGUCACCACCUAACAGAUAUUUAGGCCACUAUUGGUUAGUUAAACUCCCAUGCACCGGGCGUAAGCUCUGACAUUUCUCCAUAGGAACAAUAUCCAGUGGUGGGAAGGAAAUACAAAAGGGAAUACUUAACAUCCUUGGCGGCAUCUAGCGAUGUAUUUUCUUAGCUUUGACAGGGAUAUUCGGCUUUCUGUCUUCAGCGGAAUAGCUUUUUCUUUCUGAAAUUUGAUCCUAAAAUUCAUCAAAAUUAUCUUAUUAGAUAGCUCUGAUGAUGGCAUCUCCCUUUAAUACUAACUAGUUAAUAGUGCUUUAUAUCCUGUUUGAUGCCGAAGUUUUCAUAAUUUGCGGCCCCUUGGACAAUUAUAUACUGAAUGCCAAUGGCGUGAGAAACCUUGAUGUAAUCCCUAGCCUUCUGCGUAAAGCCUCUCCAUCAUCGAUUACCUCGCCUUGCUGGAAUGAUACAGGCAACAAGGAUGAAAGUGAGCGCCCGAGGUAACUUCUGGCAGAGAAUGGUGGAUAUCAUUGCAUUAUUCGACCCUCUCCAAAAGAACGAAGCAGAGAUGUAAAUAGUUUAUACAUUCUUUUAUAAAAUGAUAUAGAAUAAUUACAAUUGUGUAUUUUCGUUACUUGUAUUAGAGGGUAAAAGAGAUGUUCGAAAUGGAGUCAAAAACCGUCAUAAGCUUGAUGGGAGGAACAAGCUAAGAAGUACCCGGCGAGCGACUUGAUGUCCUAAGGUUGGUAACAAGGAGUGGAAGGAAAGAGUCACUGCAAAACCCAGAGGAAUGAAAUUAGAAACAAGAGAAAACAAGAACACCGAAUGAAUAUACCAUUGAUGUUCUUCCUCAAUAUGCCCGUUUUAAUGUAAGAAAAACGAAAAGAAACAAAAAAAAUGAGUAUCGCGUACGCUACACCCCUAUCUCAUCAUGGGGAUGAACAAAAAACACCUUCAGUUUCAGAGAUCAGGAUGCGAGCUCAUAGAUCCCUCGAGAAGGAAGCACGGCGCCAGGAGGAAGACAUGUUUCUUCUAGUUCCGCUAAUGAGCUACGGCUGUCUGUGGGAGAGUCGUACUCGGGAGGAUCCCCCCGAGAGGAAACCGG
RNAcentral lists this small RNA (1323 nucleotides) under Histoplasma capsulatum. RNAcentral's name for it is "hypothetical RNA". Lineage: Eukaryota; Fungi; Ascomycota; Eurotiomycetes; Onygenales; Ajellomycetaceae. The record is from RNAcentral. RNAcentral also lists the same sequence under 1 other name.